ACUCCUACGGGAGGCAGCAGUGGGGAAUAUUGCACAAUGGGGGAAACCCUGAUGCAGCCAUGCCGCGUGUGUGAAGAAGGCCUUCGGUUGUAAAGCACUUUCAGUAGGGAGGAAGGUAGUGUAGUUAACACCUGCAUUAUUUGACGUUACCUACAGAAGAAGCACCGGCUAACUCCGUGCCAGCAGCCGCGGUAAUACGGAGGGGUGCGAGCGUUAAUCGGAAUUACUGGGCGUAAAGCGCAUGCAGGCGGCCUGUUAAGUCAGAUGUGAAAGCCCGGGGGCUUAACCUCGGAAUUGCAUUUGAAAUGGCAGGCUAGAGUCUUGUAGGUAGGGGGUAGGUAAGUUUCGUAAGG
RNAcentral lists this ribosomal RNA (353 nucleotides) under uncultured bacterium. RNAcentral describes it as "bacterial SSU rRNA". It matches the Rfam family "Bacterial small subunit ribosomal RNA", at positions 335 to 680 of the family's 1533-position model. The record is from RNAcentral.